Molecule: ribosomal RNA, 504 nt
Filed under: uncultured bacterium
Lineage: Bacteria
Description: bacterial SSU rRNA
Rfam family: Bacterial small subunit ribosomal RNA
Source: RNAcentral
GAUGAACGCUAGCUACAGGCCUAACACAUGCAAGUCGAGGGGCAGCGGGAAGGAAGCUUGCUUUCUUCGCCGGCGACCGGCGCACGGGUGCGUAACGCGUAUCGAACCUACCCUUUACUCGGGAACAGCCUUGCGAAAGCAAGAUUAAUGCCCGAUGUUCCGCGUUUGCCGCAUGGCAAAUUCGGCAAAGAUUUAUUGGUAAAGGAUGGCGAUGCGUCCCAUUAGCUAGUUGGCGGGGUAACGGCCCACCAAGGCGACGAUGUCUAGGGGUUCUGAGAGGAAGGUCCCCCACAUUGGUACUGAGACACGGACCAAAACUCCUACGGGAGGCAGCAGUGAGGAAUAUUGGUCAAUGGGCGCGAGCCUGAACCAGCCAAGUCGCGUGAGGGAAGACGGCCCUACGGGUUGUAAACCUCUUUUGUCGGGGAAUAAAGUGGGUCACGUGUGACUUUUGCAUGUACCUUAUGAAUAAGGACCGGCUAAUUCCGUGCCAGCAGCUGCGGU